UAUUAUAUUGUUAUAUUAUUAUGUCAACACGAAAGAUUUCAUUGUUUGGUUGUAUCAAACUUAAAAUUCAUAUUAUUUUAUCAGUUUGAAAUGCCUAGAAUAUUGAAUUCUCAAUUUUCGACACAUAGCUUCCAGACAGACCAAGAGCUUCAUUUUCUGCAAUUAGUUUCCAUACGUGGUAAUGAAUCAAAAUAAGCUCAGAAGGAAAAAAUCCAAAUCCCCAUUUAAGUAACCAGCGAUUGCAACUAAUUUAAGUAUAAAAUAUGGAAAUUCCUCAAGUCCACAUACGGCAUUCCAAUGUGAAACGUCUAAAGAGCUGAAUGAGUAGAAGUUUAAAAAUUUGCAUACUCGAGCUACGAAGUGGGGCUCUGAGCAUUACAAACACCUUGAAGAGCAGAGAGAACAAUAACAUGCAUAUAUCAACAAAUAGAGUUUACAAUGAAGUUUGAGCUCUCAGUAACAUAUCGUCUCUUGGAUAUAAAUCUUAUUUGGCUCAACAAUUAAAAUUCAUGAUGCUGAAUUCUACCAUCCCAAGAGUUAAAAAUUAUAAAUUAUAAACCACAAAAAUAUGACGACGGGAGGCCACUAUUUAGUCAAUAUAAAAGAACUUUGUAAAAAUAUUAUAAAACAGGUUUAUCUAUCAAAAUCAUUAGCAAAGUCCAUCUACACUUUACACAAUUUUUCAUAUCAAAUUAAAAUGUAAAAAGUAUACCUUUAAAAA
This is a long non-coding RNA of Drosophila mojavensis, 721 nucleotides long. RefSeq lists it as uncharacterized. The record is from RefSeq and is a predicted model, not a curated record. The transcript has 2 exons. NCBI's taxonomy places the organism in Eukaryota, Metazoa, Arthropoda, Insecta, Diptera, Drosophilidae.